AACCUUGCACUGGAGCAUAUCCAUACCUGUGAAGUAAUAACUGAGGCUGGAUUAUUGCUGAUUGAAAACUUUACCAAUCGCCGCGAGACGACUCUCUGAGUCGGCUACGCAAUUUUUGGAACGGCCUUCGGCC
Molecule: small nuclear RNA, 133 nt
Organism: Neocallimastix californiae
Lineage: Eukaryota; Fungi; Neocallimastigomycota; Neocallimastigomycetes; Neocallimastigales; Neocallimastigaceae
Rfam family: U4 spliceosomal RNA
About the family: U4 small nuclear RNA (U4 snRNA) is a component of the major U2-dependent spliceosome. The structure of U4 snRNA from yeast and human has been reported.
Source: Rfam